This 636-nucleotide long non-coding RNA is filed under the name Ictidomys tridecemlineatus (thirteen-lined ground squirrel). RNAcentral describes it as "lncRNA (ENSSTOG00000031874.1)". The record is from RNAcentral. Lineage: Eukaryota; Metazoa; Chordata; Mammalia; Rodentia; Sciuridae.
GUUCCCAGGACCCACGGGUGACUCAGGGCUCUGUGGGAACAGUGAGGUGGGGGAGCCAGGACAGCAGAGUAAAUGGGCUAGGAACAAGUACUGGGCCGCUGGCUGACAUCGAGUACCCAAGGAGCAGAGGAAGAGGCUUACAAAGAAGAUGGAACUCGGAUCCUGGAUAUCCUUAUCUGUGAACAUGUUCGGUGCGUCUGUGACUCUGACGUGUGGUGGGACCAUGGCAUGUCUCAUCGGGGCUGGGCUGGUGGUGGCUCUCGUUUUUGGCUUCACCUAUUGUGCCAUAAAGCAGGCGAAGACAAAGGAGCUGUUUAAAAUAAAUUGAUAGAAAUCCUGUCCAGGCACCGGUGGAAGGAUAGCACCCCAUCUCUGGAAUGUGGUGUAGUGACGUGCUGUUUUACACUUUUCAAAUUUUAAGAGUGAACAAUGUAAACUUUAAAUGAUUAAACAUGAUUGAGCUCCAACUGUGUGCCUGACUGUCUUCUAGAAGCAGGUUCUGAAUUCCACAAUUCUGGAUCCUUUGAGACUCAGCUUCAAACCCACCACCAUGGCACCCUUCUGCCAUCCACCAGUCCUCACCUGGCCCUGCACUAAAGCUGCCUGGCCUGGGCCAUCAGAUCAGGUAGACUGUCU